Molecule: ribosomal RNA, 391 nt
Filed under: uncultured bacterium
Lineage: Bacteria
Description: bacterial SSU rRNA
Rfam family: Bacterial small subunit ribosomal RNA
Source: RNAcentral
AUUGAACGCUGGCGGCAUGCCUUACACAUGCAAGUCGAACGGCAGCACGGGAGCAAUCCUGGUGGCGAGUGGCGAACGGGUGAGUAAUAUAUCGGAACGUGCCCGGUCGUGGGGGAUAACGUAGCGAAAGCUACGCUAAUACCGCAUACGAUCUACGGAUGAAAGCGGGGGAUCGCAAGACCUCGCGCGAUUGGAGCGGCCGAUAUCAGAUUAGGUAGUUGGUGAGGUAAAGGCUCACCAAGCCGACGAUCUGUAGCUGGUCUGAGAGGACGACCAGCCACACUGGGACUGAGACACGGCCCAGACUCCUACGGGAGGCAGCAGUGGGGAAUUUUGGACAAUGGGCGCAAGCCUGAUCCAGCAAUGCGCGUGCAGGAUGAAGGCCUCGGUU